RNAcentral lists this ribosomal RNA (207 nucleotides) under uncultured bacterium. RNAcentral describes it as "partial 16S ribosomal RNA". It matches the Rfam family "Bacterial small subunit ribosomal RNA", at positions 568 to 774 of the family's 1533-position model. The record is from RNAcentral.
AGCGUAGACGGAUGGACAAGUCUGAUGUGAAAGGCUGGGGCUCAACCCCGGGACUGCAUUGGAAACUGCCCGUCUUGAGUGCCGGAGAGGUAAGCGGAAUUCCUAGUGUAGCGGUGAAAUGCGUAGAUAUUAGGAGGAACACCAGUGGCGAAGGCGGCUUACUGGACGGUAACUGACGCUGAGGCACGAAGGCCAGGGGAGCGAAAG